CUAUAAUGUCUGAAACAGUUCGGCCAUUAGUGAACCUUCCAUUAGGCAAACCAUUGCCAAAAUCUAUACCGUAAAAGGGCAGAUUCGCCUGCGCUAAGCUCCUCGGUAGGUUCCUAUUGUUGCCUACAUCAGACAACGAGUCCCCAAAUAUAAACUGGACGAUCUUGCAAUCGUAGCCGUCAGAAGCAUUGAGUCCAAGAACGAUGAGCAACACGAAUAUAGCGCAGAAGUACUUCAUGUCGCACAACAAAAUCAAAAUGUGUGUUGAUUGAGAACGAUUUGUUUGGUGGUUUAUAAAAGGGGGUUUGGAGGUGAAAUAUAAGACAAGUAAGAAAAGUGAAGGUAGAUUUUGAGUUGAUGAACCAACUGAUUUUGUAUAUUAUUUUUUGUUUUAUGUUUUAUUCAAACCUACUUUCAACUACUCUUUCCUCGUGUUGGUCUCAUAAGUUGUAACCGUUUCUUGUCCGUAAAUUCGUAAUUUUGUUUCUCUUGGGAACUGUUUUGUUUUCGUGGUUUCCGUGGGGUAAAUAACUUCAAAGCUUUUGUGACAACAUAAUAAUUUCAAAGUCUAGUUUGUGAACUCCAUAGAGAAAAGCUAUUCCGAGUAUUUUCUAGAAUUUCAAUGUUUGGUUCGUCUGUAAUUUCUUCUUUUAAGCUACCACUAGAUCUUGAUCCGCGUUUAGCAAGCGCGGAUUAUUUUAUGACGAAAAAUUUCACUAAUAAGUUAACAAAUAUUUUAUUAAUUUGUAAGAAUUUUGUGUAUUUAUAGUAUUUUUGCAUUUAAAUCAAUGCUUUUGAAUUCGACCCAAAACUCGCGGUUUAACUGGUUAAUCCGGUGAUCCGACAAUUCGAUUUAGAUUUGUAAAAAUAUUCAUAUUUAAAAAAUCACUAAAACCCGAGACUAAUCAAUUGAAAUGAUGGAUGACCAAUAUAUAAUCCAACUUGAUUUAAAUUGUUAUAGUUUCAUAAUUUGUCACCUUUUAAUCCAAAUUUUAAAGUUCCUUAUUUUGUAAUUUUAUGAAAUUAUGAUUUCUACAAAAUUUUGAUAGAGAAAAAUGAUAGAGAUAAAGUAAUUAACAACUAUAAAUAUGUCUUGAUCAUAUUGCUCCUUUUACAUAGCUUAAUUAAUUUUAUAAUGAUUGUUUUGUGUAAUUUAUCUUGGUAAUAAUUUAUAUUAAUUUAAAUUAACGUUAUAAAUAGUGGUCAUGAAUUUUAUAUUUAUGUAUUUUUAUUUUAUUUUGGUUAUAUAUACAUACCGUAUUUUUGUGGGUUGGUGAUGACGUCGUUGACAAGGUCAUAGGCUUCACCAAACUUGUAACUUGCAUUUGGGAGCUUGGUUUCGAGAUCUUGGAGCAUUGUGGCUGCAGCUUUGUUGAAUCUCUUAGCAAGAUUACUAGCCUUGUUUUGACAUUGACCAUCGAAGCUUAAAGCUCUUUGAAGUGGGAUACAACCCAUUGGUCCUAACCCAAACACCAUUAGCUUCCUCGCUCCCAAACUAUGCAACACCUAAAACACCAUAUCAUAUCACAAAGAAUAUGUAUCGGUCAAUUUAUAAAAAUAAAAGUAUGUAAUAAAGUGUUUGUUUAAAUACUAACCCUGAGUUGAGAAUCAAGUGUUUCCAUUAAGUAGUCGACGAAUGUUUGAUCAUUGUACUUCCAAGAAUCGCCAUAGACAGGCAUCAAGUAGUUGUUAAUAAAGUCAUUGCUGCCUAAAGCGACGACGUAUCGAGCUUGUUGGAAGAAUUUGUCUGCUUCUUGUUUCCCUAUCUUUGCCACAAUUACAUCUUGUGUCCCUUGGAAUAAUUCUAUUUGCUUCCAUAGAGAAAAUCUUUGGAUCUUCACAGUGAAAGCAACAACACAAUAAAAAAUCAUUUCUUUGAAACUUAUUCAUUUAAAAUAAUAAUGAGACUUACGAAAUAGCCACCAGUUUCAUUCAAGAUUCCACCACCUCCUGAAGCAUAGUUCACUCCAUUUUCAAGUAUAACAUCUUCAUUCAUUGAUGGAUCCAAAAAGGCUACUGGUCUUGGUAACCCAAUUUUAUCACCUGAAAAUUCAAAUAAAACCGCUAUAUAAGAAAGUAAUGCACAUGAUAUACCACGUUCGUUAUAUAACAUGCACACAUGACUUACCUAUAAUGUCUGAAACAGUUCGGCCAUUAGUGAACCUUCCAUUAGGCAAACCAUUGCCAAAAUCUAUACCGUAAAAGGGCAGAUUCGCCUGCGCUAAGCUCCUCGGUAGGUUCCUAUUGUUGCCUACAUCAGACAACGAGUCCCCAAAUAUAAACUGGACGAUCUUGCAAUCGUAGCCGUCAGAAGCAUUGAGUCCAAGAACGAUGAGCAACACGAAUAUAGCGCAG
Molecule: long non-coding RNA, 2355 nt
Filed under: Brassica napus (rape)
Lineage: Eukaryota; Viridiplantae; Streptophyta; Magnoliopsida; Brassicales; Brassicaceae
Description: long non-coding RNA (BNAP_LNC015281)
Source: RNAcentral